AGAAAAAGGGGGAAUAACAAAGGGCAUAUCCAGUGCGUGAGGCUCCUGCCACUGCGGGUCUGGGAGGGUCAUAAUUGUAUGCAGCCAUACCCCUGCUUUGUGGAGAGACUGUUUCUCGACUUGAACCCGCAACC
Telopea speciosissima is the source of this 134-nucleotide long non-coding RNA. RefSeq lists it as uncharacterized. The transcript is spliced from 3 exons. The record is from RefSeq and is a predicted model, not a curated record. Lineage: Eukaryota; Viridiplantae; Streptophyta; Magnoliopsida; Proteales; Proteaceae.